GACUCGUCCUUGUCGUCCGACUAUCCAAACAAGUGAAAAAUAGAGAAUUUGGUAGAAGUAAAAGAAAAAGAGUCAUUUUCCGGUCAAACAUCCGUUAGACAAGUUACUCAGAAUGAUUUUCUUCCGACUUUUUGGUACAAAGAAUUUUUAAUAAAACAUCAUUUUUAAUCAUUUGUAAUGUGAUAUUUUGAGAUUUAUGAGCAUCUGAUAUUGUAACUGAUUGCAGAUUGAGUUGAAUGUAUGAGCUGAAACAAUAAAUAGAUUCAAUAAAAACCUGAUAGAUAAA
Caenorhabditis elegans is the source of this 286-nucleotide long non-coding RNA. Ensembl annotates it as ncRNA. Its record names the gene C54A12.9. The record is from Ensembl. Lineage: Eukaryota; Metazoa; Nematoda; Chromadorea; Rhabditida; Rhabditidae.